GCUUCAGCAGCUCAGUUGGUUAGAGCAUGUUGCUGAUAAUGCCAAGAUUGCAGGUUCAGUCCCCGUAUGGGACA
RNAcentral lists this transfer RNA (74 nucleotides) under Podarcis lilfordi (Lilford's wall lizard). RNAcentral describes it as "tRNA.Ile". The record is from RNAcentral. Lineage: Eukaryota; Metazoa; Chordata; Lepidosauria; Squamata; Lacertidae.